Small nuclear RNA from Heterocephalus glaber (naked mole-rat), 164 nucleotides. Its record names the gene U1. It matches the Rfam family "U1 spliceosomal RNA". From Rfam's summary of the family: U1 is a small nuclear RNA (snRNA) component of the spliceosome (involved in pre-mRNA splicing). Its 5' end forms complementary base pairs with the 5' splice junction, thus defining the 5' donor site of an intron. Lineage: Eukaryota; Metazoa; Chordata; Mammalia; Rodentia; Bathyergidae. The record is from Ensembl.
AUACUUAUCUGGCAGAAGAGAGACCAUGAUCACAAAGGUGUUUUUCCCAGGGUGAGGCUUAUCCAUCACACUCUUCAUGUGCUGACUCCUGUGAUUUCCCCAAAUGUGGGAAACUCAACUGCAUCAUUUGUGGUAGUGGGGGACUGCAUUCAUGCUUUCUUUGA